AAACUAUAUUAACGUGCCAAAACAAUCCUAAACUAAAUAAAAAUUUGAAUUACAUACCUAGAAUCUCUGCUAGUAUCGCCUCUGGGAGUUGUAUGGUGCUUGUUAAGGUUUCCAUUGAACAUCUACGAUUAGGUUUUACGGUUUUGGGAUUAAAUGAUUUUUCUAUUUAUUAAAGCGUAUAUAUAUUAGAAAUAAAGAAAAAUAUUGUUUUGUACACAUAGUCACAUACCCCAAUCAUACAAAUAUUGUUCUUAUAAUAGACCCUUUUGGACGAGAUUG
This 279-nucleotide long non-coding RNA is filed under the name Brassica napus (rape). RNAcentral describes it as "long non-coding RNA (BNAP_LNC006920)". Lineage: Eukaryota; Viridiplantae; Streptophyta; Magnoliopsida; Brassicales; Brassicaceae. The record is from RNAcentral.